GUCCUCUAUUCUUGGCGCUCUGAUAGUUAAUGCCAAUUAUCAGAAGUGUAUGCGUAUUUAUGGAGGUAGAGCAUGUUGUUCCAAGUGGCGCAAUCGUCGAAUCUUCUUCGGUGUCAGGUGCAUAUACUAUCCUGAUAUCAUCCUCUGGAUUCGAAACACAC
This 161-nucleotide small nucleolar RNA is filed under the name Thelazia callipaeda (thelaziosis nematode). RNAcentral describes it as "Nematode snoRNA ceN88". It matches the Rfam family "Nematode snoRNA ceN88". The record is from Rfam by way of RNAcentral. Lineage: Eukaryota; Metazoa; Nematoda; Chromadorea; Rhabditida; Thelaziidae.